CACGUAGGCGGCAUCGCAAGUGUCGGGUGAAAUCCCACGGCUUACCCGUGGAACUGCCAGGCAGACUGCGAUGCUCGAGUGUGGUAGGGGAGAGCGGAACUCCUGGUGGAGCGGUGAAAUGCGUAGAUAUCAGGAGGAACACCGGUGGCGAAGGCGGCUCUCUGGUCCACAACUGACGCUGAGGUGCGAAAGCUAGGGGAGCAAACGGGAUUAGAUACCCCGGUAGUCCUAGCUGUAAACGAUGGGCACUAGCUUGGGGUCUCCCUGUGUGAUCCCAGGUGAAGUAAAAAUGAUAAGUGCCCCGCCUGGGGAGUAUGGUCGCAAGGCUGAA
Molecule: ribosomal RNA, 331 nt
Filed under: uncultured Planctomycetota bacterium
Lineage: Bacteria; Pseudomonadati; Planctomycetota
Description: bacterial SSU rRNA
Rfam family: Bacterial small subunit ribosomal RNA
Source: RNAcentral